RNAcentral lists this ribosomal RNA (245 nucleotides) under uncultured Lactobacillus sp. RNAcentral describes it as "partial 16S ribosomal RNA". It matches the Rfam family "Bacterial small subunit ribosomal RNA", at positions 118 to 355 of the family's 1533-position model. The record is from RNAcentral. Lineage: Bacteria; Bacillati; Bacillota; Bacilli; Lactobacillales; Lactobacillaceae.
CGGGUAACCUCGACCAAGAGAUCGGGAUAACACCUGGAAACAGAUGCUAAUACCGGAUAACAACAGAUGAUGCCUAUCAACUGUUUAAAAGAUGGUUCUGCUAUCACUCUUGGAUGGACCUGCGGUGCAUUAGCUAGUUGGUAGGGUAACGGCCUACCAAGGCGAUGAUGCAUAGCCGAGUUGAGAGACUGAUCGGCCACAUUGGGACUGAGACACGGCCCAAACUCCUACGGGAGGCAGCAGUC